AAUUUUCAUUCACUUUUGCCUACAAUAGGCAUUGCAGCCCCUUGCAACAUAGGUUCAAAUUAACCAGAGCACAAGGGAAUAGAUGGGAGAAGAGACGACCAAAAAACACCCGCGCAUGCCUAAUCCUCGUACAAUUGGUUUCUCUUCCUGAAAUAACAUUAGAAGAAUUUGUUAAAGAAAGAUAGAAAUGGUGUUUAAAACUUUAUAUAGCCAACAAGAUUCAUUGUAUGUCAGUCAGAAGGAAAUAUGGUAUGGAAUGACAGGUAGUUAUUUUCAACUAGACAGCUGGUUAUGAAUAUGAAGAGCAGUCUGACAGUCUUUCAGAGAAGAAAACAAAUUAUUAUCUGAAGCAAAGUGCCAAAGCACAUGAGCAGACAGAAGUAAUUGAGUCAGACUGGCACAUUCAGUAGAGUAUUCAGAAGGUCCAUUGCCCCAUGCGCUGUGCUGCAAUUGGAUAUGUCCCAGUUGCUCGAAACACAUGUACUCAGCGUCACACAAUUCCUUAUUAAAUAAGAGCAUGGGGCCAUAGCAAGGAUUUGAACUCGCGUCUGUACCUCAUAACGGAAGCAAGCACCAAAGUCACGUGGUGUGACAAAGAAAUGAUCUCCUCCCUUGAUCUAUUUCAGUAAGGUCAUUUCGUCGUAAUCUGCUCAAUUGCGCUGCACAUCUGAAUAGCGUGUGUACAACCAAAUUGCAUCCUCGGGAUUAAAAUCUGGAUCACACUUGGCAACAGAAACCGUUCCAUGAAGAUCUCCACGGCGAACAUGUAGUUCAGGCAUCUUGGUUCCUUCUUCAGCGGCUUGCUGUAUUUUUCAGGGAGACCAUAGAUAUACAUAUACACCUUGAGCCCCCCGGCAGAGUCAUCAUCAGCACUUCCUAUAUUCUGUUGGCCACAGGACAUGUACUAGUUUUGCCCAAAUGUAGAGGAAAGAAUAUACCAAGUUUGAGGGCAUUGCUUCUGAUCACAUAGCACUUUGAUUGAAAGCAUGGUAUGAUACUAUGACAGAUAGGUAAGCAAGGUGCAGAUCUAACCCUAGACUAGACGGUAUGAAUCAUGAUCCCUGAAACUGAAAGCAAGAAACAUGUCUUGACUGAAUCAACAAAGUGUCAAUAGCAUCAGGUGCUUGAUAAAACAUGGUUAGAAUUGAACCAGAAACUAGACGAAUCACUUGGGGUGUAGAUUCGAACACCAACAGAAACUACCAUUCCACCACCUAUCUAUAUAAUCCAUUUGCAUCUGAUAUGAAAUAGGCCUUACAGCAGACCAGACUAGUGAAACGGGUCAGAGAUCCCGAGCUAGACGAAGCCAUUCUGCCCGCUAUGCUAUGCUAUCUCUACCAAUGGAAACCACGAAUUUCUCAGACCAAUCAGGUGCAUCGCGCAUCCAUCCAUACCUUGGAUCCUCCCGGCCCCCUGCCCCCCGGCGGCGGCGGCCAAGAAGGAGAGGAGCAAUGCCGGCACCGCCGCCGCCGCCGCCGCCGCCGCCAGGGC
RNAcentral lists this long non-coding RNA (1491 nucleotides) under Triticum aestivum (bread wheat). RNAcentral describes it as "long non-coding RNA (TAES_LNC000705)". The record is from RNAcentral. Lineage: Eukaryota; Viridiplantae; Streptophyta; Magnoliopsida; Poales; Poaceae.